AACUGUUGAGUUGAAUCUGUAAUUCUAAAGGCUUUUGAAGGUGUUUAUAAUCUUAAAUGUUUCUGUGCAGACUGCAAGGACAGGAAAUCUACUCUGUGCACGCACAGACACACAUACACACACAUACGGUUAGGGUGUAGGUGAAAGUUGAGCAUGCUUCCUGUGACUGAUGAAGAAGCAGAUGCACAAUGCGAGAGCUGAGCUGGCUUAGGGGAAACCACCGGGGAGAGGAUGGAGGCCAGUGUACUUUGAUGGUGUCUCGAAUUGUCAAAUAGAACAUUUGUGGUUUUGAAGCUGAUGUAAUGACGCAAUGAGGGGGCGUCAUUAAAUAUACUCUGAUGCAUAUAAAACUGUAUUUUGAUGUUUGGAGGAUGAGAUUUUUGUGCUGUCUCCGUACAGGGUCAGCUCAUUCUCCCACGCGUGUCUUUUCAUUAAAAUCAUCGUCCGACUUUACCUUUUGGACCAGUGUGGUUACUUGCAUUCCGCCUGUAUUUACUUCCUAUAUUUUUUAACCUUAACAAGUGCCUUGAGGCGACUUUUGUUGUGAUUUGGCGCUAUAUAAAUAAAAUUGAAUUGAAUUGAAUUGAAUUGGAAAAUAGUACGAUGGUGGCUGUAACUACACAGCAGUGACAAAGCAAACAGUGGUGAAAAUGAAGCUUCAGUCAGAGGCAGACAUGCACAGCACAGAGAUCCAGCAGCAGGUUUCACAGCAGCUGUCAGGCCUCAUGCUGUCAGAAGGACUGACAGACUUCAGGAUUCGUUGGAGGAAAGUCCAGAGUUACCGUGACGACCAGUUGAAGAAGCAGGAUGUGGACGGUGGCUGCAAAACUGAAUUCUGACUGGACUGAACCACUUCAUGUGUGAAGUUAAUAACAUGCUGUGCUGAGCUGUCUCAUCCUUUAAAUCUUUCAAUAUUUCAGAGUGUAAAGUUUCACCAAUAACCCCUUUGUAGUAACAGUUGUAGUUUGACAGAAAUUCUUUUAUUUAGAGGUCCAUGCACAAUUUUGUAGGUCUCCUUGAAAUUUUCUUCAUAGGCUUUUACAGUUGUUUACAGUUUAUUGGGAUCCAUAAUUCUUGUUUCAUUCUGACAGCAAUCUCUGCUGACUUAAACAAAAGGUAAAGAAAAUCAAAAAUUUACUGCUGUAAGAGGUCAGGAUGGAUACCAAAACACUGUUUAUGUCCUGAUUCUGCUUAGACUGUUUCAGACCCAUAAGAACCAUGAAUGGGAUCAUAAGUGUCCCAAUCCAUACCUGAUUUAAAUUGGUAUGGUCCAUUUUAAAGGGUUGGACUUUUAAUACAGACUUGAUGUCCUCGUAUUGGACACUAUUUUAAUUGGAUUUUUCUCUGCUCAUCAAAUGUUAAAUUUUUCAGAAAGAAUCCAUUGCUUUCCUCCUGGAUUAUUUUCUUUAACAUGAAACACUGAGAUAAACACAUCUUCAGGCCCGUCUCCUCGCCAGUCUCUUUCCUCCCAAAGAUAUGAAAAGCAUUAGCUCGGAGUAAGUUAAUUAGACAAGUAUAACUGAUGUUAUUUCAUUAUUAUUCUGUGAUGUUAUUAUCAUUUGAUUCUGCUUUAGCUUUGCUCCUGCUAAAUUUCUUUAAUAAAUAUCCUUCA
This is a long non-coding RNA of Oreochromis niloticus (Nile tilapia), 1612 nucleotides long. RefSeq lists it as uncharacterized. The transcript has 3 exons. NCBI's taxonomy places the organism in Eukaryota, Metazoa, Chordata, Actinopteri, Cichliformes, Cichlidae. The record is from RefSeq and is a predicted model, not a curated record.